This 253-nucleotide ribosomal RNA is filed under the name uncultured bacterium. RNAcentral's name for it is "partial 16S ribosomal RNA". It matches the Rfam family "Bacterial small subunit ribosomal RNA", at positions 524 to 776 of the family's 1533-position model. The record is from RNAcentral.
UACGUAGGUGGCAAGCGUUAUCCGGAUUUACUGGGUGUAAAGGGCGUGUAGGCGGGACUGCAAGUCAGAUGUGAAACCCAUGGGCUCAACCCAUGGCCUGCAUUUGAAACUGUAGUUCUUGAGUGAUGGAGAGGCAGGCGGAAUUCCGUGUGUAGCGGUGAAAUGCGUAGAUAUACGGAGGAACACCAGUGGCGAAGGCGGCCUGCUGGACAUUAACUGACGCUGAGGCGCGAAAGCGUGGGGAGCAGACAGG